Non-coding RNA from Cajanus cajan (pigeon pea), 158 nucleotides. Lineage: Eukaryota; Viridiplantae; Streptophyta; Magnoliopsida; Fabales; Fabaceae. The record is from RefSeq and is a predicted model, not a curated record.
GAAAAAUUAUUGUUGUAUCCGCUGCUGUGUAUCUUCUUUCAUUAUUCUUUUGCCAAGCUUUCUCGUUUGUGGGUUUUGUUCAAUUGUUCGUUGCCCUCGAUUGCUUGAAUAAGGAAAGAAAAUACCAAGUGUUGAUGUGGGUUUACAGUGCAGAAAAA